UCUUUGGGGGUCAAGUGGCUAAGACUUGGCACUUCCAAUGCAGGGUGCCCAGGUUUAAUCCCUGGUAGGAGAA
This 73-nucleotide transfer RNA is filed under the name Ovis aries (sheep). It matches the Rfam family "tRNA". From Rfam's summary of the family: Transfer RNA (tRNA) molecules are approximately 80 nucleotides in length. Their secondary structure includes four short double-helical elements and three loops (D, anti-codon, and T loops). Further hydrogen bonds mediate the characteristic L-shaped molecular structure. tRNAs have two regions of fundamental functional importance: the anti-codon, which is responsible for specific mRNA codon recognition, and the 3' end, to which the tRNAs corresponding amino acid is attached (by aminoacyl-tRNA synthetases). tRNAs cope with the degeneracy of the genetic code in two manners: having more than one tRNA (with a specific anti-codon) for a particular amino acid; and 'wobble' base-pairing, i.e. permitting non-standard base-pairing at the 3rd anti-codon position. The record is from Rfam by way of RNAcentral. Lineage: Eukaryota; Metazoa; Chordata; Mammalia; Artiodactyla; Bovidae.